CAUGAACACUGUUAUCUAGGGUUUUUUAUACCUAGGAAAACCUUAUCUGUUAUCAAAGUCGUAAAUUUAUUGCUACCGAAUUAGGAUGAAAGGUGCAACAAUGAUCUUACUUAAAAUAGCAUAUAAACAAGCGUAAAUGUAAAAAAAAGGGGGAACGAGUGGAAUACCUGGAGCGGUUCCUGGCUGUUCGGCGAUUUGAAAAUCUUCAUGGGCUGCCCUGCCACCGAGGUCACAAUGCCACUUAUGGGCUUUCCACUGGGCUGGACCACCUUAAUCAUCUGCCCUGUUACAGAAAAAACGAAUAAAACACGUGCACUGAACCCGCUUUUCCUCCCACAUCGAGGCGGUUUCCCCCGAAACUCGGUCCUUUCCCGCCCAGCCCCCCAACCGGCAACUGUUUGCCCCCGCACCACUUCGUUGUGGGCCCCCGUUUUGGAAAAACCCCCGAACCCUUUAAAAAUUACCAUUGGCUCCCUGGAUCACCCAGUUGGUUGUGCUGUUCUGCUGGGUCAUUUUCCCUCUCGUGCGAAACACUCACUCGCCGCCCCUUUAGCACAUUUCCUCAAAAACGGGACACUGUCGAAAAAGCACCGGUUUUUAAAUCCGAGCUCCUCUCCAUCCAACUCCAACAAAAAUGGCGACUGUAACUAGGCGAUAUUUUGGAAUUGAAAUAGGCGGACCCCGCGCACCACGAAUUCGGUUUAAACAACUCGCGAAGUUUCCUCGAAUAUC
This is a long non-coding RNA of Tribolium castaneum (red flour beetle), 732 nucleotides long. RefSeq lists it as uncharacterized. Lineage: Eukaryota; Metazoa; Arthropoda; Insecta; Coleoptera; Tenebrionidae. The record is from RefSeq and is a predicted model, not a curated record. The transcript is spliced from 2 exons.